Homarus americanus (American lobster) is the source of this 772-nucleotide long non-coding RNA. RefSeq lists it as uncharacterized. NCBI's taxonomy places the organism in Eukaryota, Metazoa, Arthropoda, Malacostraca, Decapoda, Nephropidae. The record is from RefSeq and is a predicted model, not a curated record. The transcript is spliced from 5 exons.
UGAAAAUAAUAUGUUUGACCACACGAUAUUUUUUCCCCUCUCUCUGGCUAACGAAUCAACCUAUCACACGCAUUCUCUCCACUAGUUCAGGUGAUGACACAUCAAAAGUCACAUAAUUGUUGCCAGUAAGUGAAUAUAAUCGUGUUAGUAUUUUCGAGUUAUUCACUAAAUUUAUCUCAUAUGUUUGCGUUAUUAGAAAAUAAAACACAUAUGUAAAUUAAAACAAUAAACUAGUAUCUGAAUUUAGUGUUCUAGGGUGUAAAUAUUAUAAUAUACCUUCCAUUACCGACAACUCAGUCAGGUUAUAAGAACCCCGGGGAGCGACCUGUACGCCCACUGUUCUUCAGAUCUCGGUACAGUCAACGAACGCUGGACUGCGUCACAACCUCCCCGAGGCUCGUGUACACUGUUGACAUUGACACCAAACACAAGACAAACAGACAGACAUACAAGAGGCAGCAGCUGUACAGGAUGUCUGGAAGUACCAAAGAUGCUCAGAAGGAGACGUCCCCAAAGAACUCCUCGGUGUGUGGGGCACAAGGUGGGGCACAAGGGAAAUCCUUCACUCCACCGCAGAGGAAUGUAGAAGAAACUAAGAAGAAUGACAGUAGCUAUCAACUAUCCCCCAUUGGAUUGAUGCGCCUUUUCCAGACACCUUCGCCCCAAAAGUCAUCAUCCAGCAACUCAUAAUGUGAUGCACAUACACACAUAAAUACAGACACACCGCACACAUACACACAUAAAUACAGACACACCCAACACACACACACAU